This 253-nucleotide ribosomal RNA is filed under the name uncultured bacterium. Its description in RNAcentral is "partial 16S ribosomal RNA". It matches the Rfam family "Bacterial small subunit ribosomal RNA", at positions 524 to 776 of the family's 1533-position model. The record is from RNAcentral.
UACGGAGGGGACUAGCGUUGUUCGGAAUUACUGGGCGUAAAGCGCACGUAGGCGGAUUUGUAAGUCAGGGGUGAAAUCCCGGGGCUCAACCUCGGAACUGCCUUUGAUACUGCAAAUCUCGAGUCCGGAAGAGGUGAGUGGAAUUCCUAGUGUAGAGGUGAAAUUCGUAGAUAUUCGCAAGAACACCAGUGGCGAAGGCGGCUCACUGGCCCGGAACUGACGCUGAGGUGCGAAAGCGUGGGGAGCAAACAGG